Molecule: transfer RNA, 64 nt
Filed under: Adenocephalus pacificus
Lineage: Eukaryota; Metazoa; Platyhelminthes; Cestoda; Diphyllobothriidea; Diphyllobothriidae
Description: tRNA-Glu
Source: RNAcentral
CCUGCUUUGUUGUAAUAUAGCAUAACAACUUUUCGUGUUGUUGGUGGUGUUUUACCAAGCAGAG